GGUUAAGCGACUAAGCGUACACGGUGGAUGCCCUGGCAGUCAGAGGCGAUGAAGGACGUGCUAAUCUGCGAUAAGCGUCGGUAAGGUGAUAUGAACCGUUAUAACCGGCGAUUUCCGAAUGGGGAAACCCAGUGUGUUUCGACACACUAUCAUUAACUGAAUCCAUAGGUUAAUGAGGCGAACCGGGGGAACUGAAACAUCUAAGUACCCCGAGGAAAAGAAAUCAACCGAGAUUCCCCCAGUAGCGGCGAGCGAACGGGGAGCAGCCCAGAGCCUGAAUCAGUGUGUGUGUUAGUGGAAGCGUCUGGAAAGGCGCGCGAUACAGGGUGACAGCCCCGUACACAAAAAUGCACAUACUGUGAGCUCGAUGAGUAGGGCGGGACACGUGGUAUCCUGUCUGAAUAUGGGGGGACCAUCCUCCAAGGCUAAAUACUCCUGACUGACCGAUAGUGAACCAGUACCGUGAGGGAAAGGCGAAAAGAACCCCGGCGAGGGGAGUGAAAAAGAACCUGAAACCGUGUACGUACAAGCAGUGGGAGCCUCUUUAUGGGGUGACUGCGUACCUUUUGUAUAAUGGGUCAGCGACUUAUAUUCUGUAGCAAGGUUAACCGAAUAGGGGAGCCGAAGGGAAACCGAGUCUUAACUGGGCGUUAAGUUGCAGGGUAUAGACCCGAAACCCGGUGAUCUAGCCAUGGGCAGGUUGAAGGUUGGGUAACACUAACUGGAGGACCGAACCGACUAAUGUUGAAAAAUUAGCGGAUGACUUGUGGCUGGGGGUGAAAGGCCAAUCAAACCGGGAGAUAGCUGGUUCUCCCCGAAAGCUAUUUAGGUAGCGCCUCGUGAAUUCAUCUCCGGGGGUAGAGCACUGUUUCGGCAAGGGGGUCAUCCCGACUUACCAACCCGAUGCAAACUGCGAAUACCGGAGAAUGUUAUCACGGGAGACACACGGCGGGUGCUAACGUCCGUCGUGAAGAGGGAAACAACCCAGACCGCCAGCUAAGGUCCCAAAGUCAUGGUUAAGUGGGAAACGAUGUGGGAAGGCCCAGACAGCCAGGAUGUUGGCUUAGAAGCAGCCAUCAUUUAAAGAAAGCGUAAUAGCUCACUGGUCGAGUCGGCCUGCGCGGAAGAUGUAACGGGGCUAAACCAUGCACCGAAGCUGCGGCAGCGACACUAUGUGUUGUUGGGUAGGGGAGCGUUCUGUAAGCCUGCGAAGGUGUACUGUGAGGUAUGCUGGAGGUAUCAGAAGUGCGAAUGCUGACAUAAGUAACGAUAAAGCGGGUGAAAAGCCCGCUCGCCGGAAGACCAAGGGUUCCUGUCCAACGUUAAUCGGGGCAGGGUGAGUCGACCCCUAAGGCGAGGCCGAAAGGCGUAGUCGAUGGGAAACAGGUUAAUAUUCCUGUACUUGGUGUUACUGCGAAGGGGGGACGGAGAAGGCUAUGUUGGCCGGGCGACGGUUGUCCCGGUUUAAGCGUGUAGGCUGGUUUUCCAGGCAAAUCCGGAAAAUCAAGGCUGAGGCGUGAUGACGAGGCACUACGGUGCUGAAGCAACAAAUGCCCUGCUUCCAGGAAAAGCCUCUAAGCAUCAGGUAACAUCAAAUCGUACCCCAAACCGACACAGGUGGUCAGGUAGAGAAUACCAAGGCGCUUGAGAGAACUCGGGUGAAGGAACUAGGCAAAAUGGUGCCGUAACUUCGGGAGAAGGCACGCUGAUAUGUAGGUGAAGCGACUUGCUCGUGGAGCUGAAAUCAGUCGAAGAUACCAGCUGGCUGCAACUGUUUAUUAAAAACACAGCACUGUGCAAACACGAAAGUGGACGUAUACGGUGUGACGCCUGCCCGGUGCCGGAAGGUUAAUUGAUGGGGUUAGCGGUAACGCGAAGCUCUUGAUCGAAGCCCCGGUAAACGGCGGCCGUAACUAUAACGGUCCUAAGGUAGCGAAAUUCCUUGUCGGGUAAGUUCCGACCUGCACGAAUGGCGUAAUGAUGGCCAGACUGUCUCCACCCGAGACUCAGUGAAAUUGAACUCGCUGUGAAGAUGCAGUGUACCCGCGGCAAGACGGAAAGACCCCGUGAACCUUUACUAUAGCUUGACACUGAACAUUGAGCCUUGAUGUGUAGGAUAGGUGGGAGGCUUUGAAGUGUGGACGCCAGUCUGCAUGGAGCCGACCUUGAAAUACCACCCUUUAAUGUUUGAUGUUCUAACGUUGGCCCCUGAUCGGGGUUGCGGACAGUGUCUGGUGGGUAGUUUGACUGGGGCGGUCUCCUCCUAAAGAGUAACGGAGGAGCACGAAGGUUGGCUAAUCCUGGUCGGACAUCAGGAGGUUAGUGCAAUGGCAUAAGCCAGCUUGACUGCGAGCGUGACGGCGCGAGCAGGUGCGAAAGCAGGUCAUAGUGAUCCGGUGGUUCUGAAUGGAAGGGCCAUCGCUCAACGGAUAAAAGGUACUCCGGGGAUAACAGGCUGAUACCGCCCAAGAGUUCAUAUCGACGGCGGUGUUUGGCACCUCGAUGUCGGCUCAUCACAUCCUGGGGCUGAAGUAGGUCCCAAGGGUAUGGCUGUUCGCCAUUUAAAGUGGUACGCGAGCUGGGUUUAGAACGUCGUGAGACAGUUCGGUCCCUAUCUGCCGUGGGCGCUGGAGAACUGAGGGGGGCUGCUCCUAGUACGAGAGGACCGGAGUGGACGCAUCACUGGUGUUCGGGUUGUCAUGCCAAUGGCACUGCCCGGUAGCUAAAUGCGGAAGAGAUAAGUGCUGAAAGCAUCUAAGCACGAAACUUGCCCCGAGAUGAGUUCUCCCUGACUCCUUGAGAGUCCUGAAGGAACGUUGAAGACGACGACGUUGAUAGGCCGGGUGUGUAAGCGCAGCGAUGCGUUGAGCUAACCGGUACUAAUGAACCGUGAGGCUUAACCUU
This 2904-nucleotide ribosomal RNA is filed under the name Escherichia coli. RNAcentral describes it as "23S ribosomal RNA". It matches the Rfam family "Bacterial large subunit ribosomal RNA". Lineage: Bacteria; Pseudomonadati; Pseudomonadota; Gammaproteobacteria; Enterobacterales; Enterobacteriaceae. The record is from RNAcentral.